GAUGAACGCUGGCGGCGUGCCUAAUACAUGCAAGUCGAGCGAACAGACGAGGAGCUUGCUCCUCUGACGUUAGCGGCGGACGGGUGAGUAACACGUGGAUAACCUACCUAUAAGACUGGGAUAACUUCGGGAAACCGGAGCUAAUACCGGAUAAUAUAUUGAACCGCAUGGUUCAAUAGUGAAAGACGGUUUUGCUGUCACUUAUAGAUGAAUCCGCGCCGCAUUAGCUAGUUGGUAAGGUAACGGCUUACCAAGGCAACGAUGCGUAGCCGACCUGAGGGGGUGAUCGGCCACACUGGAACUGAGACACGGUCCAGACUCCUACGGGAGGCAGCAGUAGGGAAUCUUCCGCAAUGGGCGAAAGCCUGACGGAGCAACGCCGCGUGAGUGAUGAAGGUCUUCGGAUCGUAAAACUCUGUUAUUAGGGAAGAACAAAUGUGUAAGUAACUAUGCACGUCUUGACGGUACCUAAUCAGAAAGCCACGGCUAACUACGUG
Molecule: ribosomal RNA, 497 nt
Filed under: uncultured bacterium
Lineage: Bacteria
Description: partial 16S ribosomal RNA
Rfam family: Bacterial small subunit ribosomal RNA
Source: RNAcentral